GUCCCUGUAGCGCAAUGGAUAGCGCACGCGCGUUGGACUUCUAAUCUAAAGGUCGUGGAUUUGAUUCCCACCUGGGAUG
Molecule: non-coding RNA, 79 nt
Organism: Trichonephila clavipes
Lineage: Eukaryota; Metazoa; Arthropoda; Arachnida; Araneae; Nephilidae
Source: the annotation of a GenBank genome assembly